CUCGAACCUGUUCCCUGAGACCUCUGCUGUGACAGAAUACAGUGUCACAGUAAGAGACCUCAGGGUCCAGGUCGAG
Molecule: non-coding RNA, 76 nt
Organism: Syphacia muris
Lineage: Eukaryota; Metazoa; Nematoda; Chromadorea; Rhabditida; Oxyuridae
Source: Rfam